GAUGAACGCUGGCGGCGUGCCUAAUACAUGCAAGUCGAGCGAACAGACGAGGAGCUUGCUCCUUCGACGUUAGCGGCGGACGGGUGAGUAACACGUAGGUAACCUACCUAUAAGACUGGGAUAACUUCGGGAAACCGGAUCUAAUACCGGAUAAUAUUUCGAACCGCAUUGUUCGAUAGUGAAAGAUGGCUUUGCUAUCACGUAUAGAUGGACCUGCGCCGUAUUAGCUAGUUGGUAAGGUAACGGCUUACCAAGGCAACGAGUCGUAGCCGACCUGAGAGGGUGAUCGGCCACACUGGAACUGAAACACGGUCAAGACUCCUACGGGAGGCAGCAGUAGGGAAUCUUCCGCAAUGGGCGAAAGCCUGACGGAGCAACGCCGCGUGAGUGAUGAAGGUCUUCGGAUCGUAAAACUCUGUUAUUAGGGAAGAACAAACGUGUAAGUAACUGUGCACGUAUUGACGGUACCUAAUCAGAAAGCCACGGCUAACUACGUG
Molecule: ribosomal RNA, 497 nt
Filed under: uncultured bacterium
Lineage: Bacteria
Description: partial 16S ribosomal RNA
Rfam family: Bacterial small subunit ribosomal RNA
Source: RNAcentral